Molecule: long non-coding RNA, 284 nt
Organism: Neocloeon triangulifer
Lineage: Eukaryota; Metazoa; Arthropoda; Insecta; Ephemeroptera; Baetidae
Exons: 3
Source: RefSeq, a predicted model, not a curated record
GCCAACAGAGAAUGAAAUGCUACGCAAUCUUUUUUAUCAUCUAUUUAGGAGUGCAGACUAUUCAGACGUUGGCGCACCUACCAAAAAAUGACGAUUUCUUCUCACGGGAUGAAUCUAAAAACUCGACCAACUCAAAGUUUGGAUUUGAACCUUCCAGUUUGGACAAUGUUUUGUCCUCAUUUCUGUCGCUGUUCAAAGGCUGGGGAUCCGGUGGUCCAUCACCUCUGUCAGACAUAGCAAAAGUGCUGACCACCUUUUUCAGCAUGCUGUCGGAUUAGCUUGGA